GCUCACUGCAACCUUCUCCUGAGUUCAAGCAAUCCUCGUGCUUCAGCCUCCCAAGUAGCUGGGAUUACAGGCAUGUGCCACUCAUUUUCAUUUUAAAAGGCUACACUUAGCAUUAAAAAUUAAAUGGAGGCUGGAAGAGGGGUUACAGUCUUCUCCCGCCAGUCUCUCUUUCAUCAAAUGAAAAGAUACAAGACUCAUCAGACCCAAAUGGGGGUUAAAAGAUCAGCCUCUUUAUUGCUGAAGGAUAUACCUAAUCAUUCUCUAAAAGUAGAACUUCUAGAAAAUUUUUAGAGAGUAGGACUUAAACCUUGAGCUCAAUGGAACUUCCUUCUCCUCCUACUCAAAUCUUGGUCUCAGGACUCACCUAUUUGGACAGCUGAGUUGAGAGUCUGACAUAAAUUCACCUGCCUAGCCACCAGCAAGGUACCUACAAGGAAGCACAGGGCUGCCCCAUAUCCUCUCCAGGAUAUCCUUUCCGGGCCCUCCAUACUGGGGGACCUUGCCUAGAGAAGUUUAUCUCAUAGAAUUUCCUAUGAGGAGGAGAUUAAAGACUAUGAUCCUGCAAUUCCCCCGAGAGAACACAGAGCCAAGAAACUAAGAAACGAUGUCAUGUGUGAACUGCAUAUGGCAUUUAACACUGUCCCCCAUCCACUAUUAAAUGUGGUUCCAUGAAAGUCAGGUCCUCAACAGUCAGGUUAGCUAGUCCUCCCACUUUGGGGAGGGGCAAAUAAGCAAGUGGAGAGAGAAGAUGGAAGUAUUGUAUUCUUUCUUUACCAGUCAAAGUGCAAACAUGAGAAGGAGAGUAUAACUGUUCCUCCUCUCAGUUGGAAUUUCCUUACUGGGGGAAUUCAGGAAACAGGAACAUAACCAGUAAAAGAAACUUUGGCAAGACCUUCCUCAGAAUGUUUCAAGACUGGGAGAGAACAACAUCCCAAGUGGGGCAGAAUUUUAAUUUUUCUCUCUUGAAAUGUUUCCAACCUUGGAACUGCAUUCAUGGAUGGGAAGAGCUGAUGGAAGCCAAGUGGGAGAGAAAGUACAAAGGAAGAUUUCCAGAGAUAAAGAGAACAACUCCUCAGUGAGCCGGCUUGGAGAGAACAAGUGGAGGGAGGCACGUCUUCAGCCUGUCGUUAGCAGAUGUUUACUAACUCACUGUGGUACUGGAGCCAGCUGGGGCUAACUGAGGAACAUUUUCCAUCCCAGAUCCUUUGUGGUGAAAAAGAAUAAAGUAGAAAAUGAAUGGCACCAGAUUGUGUCCAUGAUUUAUCAUUUUAAUCUUGUCACCAAGAAUUGAAGAGACCCAGGCUAGGGCAAAGGAAAAGGCAAAAAUAUAUAUAUUUGACAUGAAUCAGUUAUUUGAGGUCAAUCUGGGAAGUUUUUUUAGCACAUAAAAAACGUCUAAAAGAAAGAAUAGU
Molecule: long non-coding RNA, 1412 nt
Filed under: Homo sapiens (human)
Lineage: Eukaryota; Metazoa; Chordata; Mammalia; Primates; Hominidae
Description: HSALNT0047178
Source: RNAcentral